Molecule: ribosomal RNA, 515 nt
Filed under: uncultured bacterium
Lineage: Bacteria
Description: partial 16S ribosomal RNA
Rfam family: Bacterial small subunit ribosomal RNA
Source: RNAcentral
GAUGAACGCUGGCGGCGUGCCUAAUACAUGCAAGUCGAGCGAAUGGAUUAAGAGCUUGCUCUUAUGAAGUUAGCGGCGGACGGGUGAGUAACACGUGGGUAACCUGCCCAUAAGACUGGGAUAACUCCGGGAAACCGGGGCUAAUACCGGAUAACAUUUUGAACCGCAUGGUUCGAAAUUGAAAGGCGGCUUCGGCUGUCACUUAUGGAUGGACCCGCGUCGCAUUAGCUAGUUGGUGAGGUAACGGCUCACCAAGGCAGCGAUGCGUAGCCGACAUGAGAGGGUGAUCGGCCACACUGGGAAUGAGACACGGCCCAGACUCCUACGGGAGGCAGCAGUAGGGAAUCUUCCGCAACGGACGAAAGUCUGACGGAGCAACGCCGCGUGAGUGAUGAAGGCUUUCGGGUCGUAAAACUCUGUUGUUAGGGAAGAACAAGUGCUAGUUGAAUAAGCUGGCACCUUGACGGUACCUAACCAGAAAGCCACGGCUAACUACGUGCCAGCAGCCGCGGUAA